GACGAACGCUGGCGGCGUACCUAAUACAUGCAAGUCGAGCGGACUUUCAAGAAGCUUGCUUUUUGAAAGUUAGCGGCGGACGGGUGAGUAACACGUGGGCAACCUGCCUGUAAGACGGGGAUAACUCCGGGAAACCGGGGCUAAUACCGGAUAAUAUCUUUCUUCGCAUGAAGGAAGGUUGAAAGGCGGCGCAAGCUGCCGCUUGCAGAUGGGCCCGCGGCGCAUUAGCUAGUUGGUGAGGUAACGGCUCACCAAGGCGACGAUGCGUAGCCGACCUGAGAGGGUGAUCGGCCACACUGGGACUGAGACACGGCCCAGACUCCUACGGGAGGCAGCAGUAGGGAUUCUUCCGCAAUGGACGAAAGUCUGACGGAGCAACGCCGCGUGAGCGAAGAAGGUCUUCGGAUCGUAAAGCUCUGUUGUCAGGGAAGAACAAGUACCGUUCGAAUAGGGCGGUACCUUGACGGUACCUGACCAGAAAGCCACAGCUAACUACGUGCCAGCCGCCGCAGUAA
This 515-nucleotide ribosomal RNA is filed under the name uncultured bacterium. RNAcentral describes it as "partial 16S ribosomal RNA". It matches the Rfam family "Bacterial small subunit ribosomal RNA", at positions 28 to 523 of the family's 1533-position model. The record is from RNAcentral.